UACGUAGGCAGCGAGCGUUGUUCGGAAUUACUGGGCGUAAAGAGUGUGUAGGCGGUGCUCUAAGUUCGGUGUGAAAUCUCGGGGCUUAACUCCGAAACUGCAUUCGAUACUGCCGUGCUUGAGGACUGGAGAGGAGACUGGAAUUUACGGUGUAGCGGUGAAAUGCGUAGAUAUCGUAAGGAAGACCAGUGGCGAAGGCGGGUCUCUGGACAGUUCCUGACGCUGAGGCACGAAGGUCAGGGGAGCAAACGGG
This 253-nucleotide ribosomal RNA is filed under the name uncultured bacterium. RNAcentral describes it as "partial 16S ribosomal RNA". It matches the Rfam family "Bacterial small subunit ribosomal RNA", at positions 524 to 776 of the family's 1533-position model. The record is from RNAcentral.